GCUGGAUUGUGUGUAGCAAUACUCACAGUCCGGAGUGGCGUAAGGGUGCGUAACACGUGGGUAAUUUGCCUGGAAGCCCGGGAUAACUCCGAGAAAUCGGAGCUAAUACCGGAUGUGAUCAAUGGCUGGCAUCAGUUGUUGCUCAAAGUCGGGGACCGCAAGGCCUGACACUUCCAGAUAAGCCCGCGGCCUAUCAGCUAGUUGGCGGGGUAACGGCCCACCAAGGCUAAGACGGGUAGCUGGUCUGAGAGGACGACCAGCCACACUGGAACUGAGACACGGUCCAGACACCUACGGGUGGCAGCAGUCGAGAAUUUUUCACAAUGGGGGAAACCCUGAUGGAGCGACGCCGCGUGGGGGAUGAAUGGCUUCGGCCCGUAAACCCCUGUCAUUUGCGAACAAACCUGGUGGUUGAACAGACUGCCAGCUGAUAGUAGCAGAAGAGGAAGGGACGGCUAACUCUGUGCCAGCAGCCGCGGUAAUACAGAGGUCCCAAGCGUUGUUCGGAUUCACUGGGCGUAAAGGGUGCGUAGGCGGUGGGGUAAGUUUGAGGUGAAAUCUCCGGGCUCAACCCGGACAAGCCUUGAAUACUAUCCUGCUAGAGGAUCGGAGGGGAGACUGGAAUUCUCGGUGUAGCAGUGAAAUGCGUAGAUAUCGAGAGGAACACCAGUGGCGAAGGCNAGUCUCUGGACGAUACCUGACGCUGAGGCACGAAAGCCAGGGGAGCAAACGGGAUUAGAUACCCCGGUAGUCCUGGCCCUAAACGGUGCGCACUUGCUGUGGNCGGAUUCGANCCCGCCCGUGGCGAAGGAAACCCGAUAAGUGCGCCGCCNGGGGGAGUACGGUCGCAAGAUUAAAACUCAAAGAAAUUGACGGGGGCCUGCACAAGCGGNGGANUAUGUGGNUUANUUCGAUGCNACGCGAAGAA
RNAcentral lists this ribosomal RNA (928 nucleotides) under uncultured bacterium. RNAcentral describes it as "bacterial SSU rRNA". It matches the Rfam family "Bacterial small subunit ribosomal RNA", at positions 66 to 968 of the family's 1533-position model. The record is from RNAcentral.